Molecule: ribosomal RNA, 573 nt
Filed under: Triticum aestivum (bread wheat)
Lineage: Eukaryota; Viridiplantae; Streptophyta; Magnoliopsida; Poales; Poaceae
Description: partial small subunit ribosomal RNA
Source: RNAcentral
CCUAACUAUAAGUGGCUCUGGAAAGCCAGCAUUCCGUUGAAAAUCAAAAUAUUUUUGUGGCAGCUUUUCCAAAAUGUUGUGUUGACUCGGGAUAACUUACGGAAGAGGAAUUGGCCUGGGAACCCUAUUUGUUCUUUCUGCACCAGUGUAGAAACUGCAAACCAUUUGUUCUUUACAUGUUCUCUUGCUAGAACUAUCUGGGGGACGUUGGGCCUCACGGCUGGAGCAUCCUGUUGCCCACGAUCGCUAUGGCAAAGUUGGGCGUGGUUGUAUAAAUUUUUCCCUGGAGGAAAAAAGUUUUACAUGAUGAUUAUUGCUGCUUUGUGCUGGGGGAUCUGGUGUCUCCGAAAUAAAGUUACCUUUGACAAGUAUAAUGCUCGCUCUCCUUUGGAGGCUGUUUUCAGUGCUUGUUCUUUUAUGUUGUAUUGGGCAGGGCUGCUAAAAGGAGAAGAUAGAUCGAAGUUUCAGGCGGGCGUGAAGAGACUAGCGUAUGUGGCAGCAGCUCUGGCGGACAGGAACCAAUCGCGAGGUGUGAUGAUGUUGAAAGAUGAAGAUGGGAUACAGAUCGGCUAA